Xanthomonas oryzae pv. oryzae is the source of this 76-nucleotide small RNA. It matches the Rfam family "Xanthomonas sRNA sX9". The record is from Rfam. NCBI's taxonomy places the organism in Bacteria, Pseudomonadati, Pseudomonadota, Gammaproteobacteria, Lysobacterales, Lysobacteraceae.
AUGUCCCGCUCGUACAUUGCGAUUUCUCCGCGCCGUCCACACGGACCUGACGACUGCUGGCUACGUUGUGUUAGCC